AGCGAACGCUGGCGGCAUGCUUAACACAUGCAAGUCGCACGGGCAGCAAUGUCAGUGGCGGACGGGUGAGUACCGCGUAGGAACGUGUCCUGAGGUGGGGGACAACCCCGGGAUACUGGGGCUAAUACCGCAUAUGGGCUGAGGCCCAAAGCCGAGAGGCGCCUUUGGAGCGGCCUGCGUCCGAUUAGGUAGUUGGUGGGGUAAAGGCCUACCAAGCCUGCGAUCGGUAGCUGGUCUGAGAGGACGACCAGCCACACUGGGACUGAGACCCGGCCCAGACUCAUCCGGGAGGCAGAAGUGGGGAAUAUUAGACAAGGGGCGACAGCCUGAUCCAGCAAUGCCGCGUGGGUGAAGAAGGUCUUCGGAGCGUCGAGCCCUUUCGAGGGGGCCGAUGAUGACGGUACCCGUAGAAGAAGCCCCGGCUAACUUCGUG
Molecule: ribosomal RNA, 433 nt
Filed under: uncultured bacterium
Lineage: Bacteria
Description: partial 16S ribosomal RNA
Rfam family: Bacterial small subunit ribosomal RNA
Source: RNAcentral